AACAUUUCAUCUAUGAGCCAAUCUUUGCAUCUACAUGUUUAAACUUUUGCUUCAUUAAAGUUUGAUUGUACGCGUGCAAUGGAAAACAUGCAAUUAUCAUGCAUUACAUUAUAAUCAUCUAUUUUGUUCCUUGCAGCGAGAAAUUAUUAGGAUUUAACAAAACGACUGGUUGGACAAAACAUCAACCGAUAUGCGUAUAGUGUCUAACACGAUUUUUCAACAAAUGGCACAACUGCUGCUCCUGAUAUUAUGUAUAGCAGAAUUAUCUAUAGGCGCACCGCUAGAGACCGACCGACUCCGUUUCUUAAAAGGGCUUGAUGUUUGCGAAUGGGGUUGUAGCUCAGACAUUGACGAAAAUCUUAAAAUGUGUGAAGCAUUAUGUCAUCUAGACAUCCAGCAAAACCAUUUUCAACACGAAAAUGAAAUUAAAUGUCAAGGUGUAUGCGCCAGCAAGUACAUUAGUUGCUUUGAAGGGUGCUCGAAAAAUUCAAGUAGGACAACUAUUCCUACUUGAAGUCAGUGAAUAGGACUUUUAUUGAUACAAACGUGAUUCAUGCUGUGAUUUGGGCAAAAUGGAGUCAAUGCGGUAUUGAAUUAUUGCUGAAGAACCCCCACAUCGUAAUUUAUGUUGCAAUGUUUUGCUACGAAAUAUUGUAAAGAACAAGUUAAAUAAAUAAGUGUACAGGAACAAAUGUCAGUUGCAAAGUCGCAACCAACAAGCGAAACAGAAAGAAAUAUCGUGCCAUCUUUCUUAUAGCUGAAAUAAAAACACAAAGAGAGUUUUGUUAGGAGCUGCAAAUUUAAACUGGGGAACUUAAUGGAGAAAAUUGUUUAGCUAUUGAAACUUUUCUUUUGCGUUUCAAAAGGAAUGUAGUGUACAGAGUUAUCAGUAUUUUAAAAUAUGAUGUUGAUUUAUUAGGCAAUUAAACUUGCAUAUGUUAAUAUAUAAAUUUCCAAUGAUAUACAGGUUGUAAAGUAAAGGUUGUGAAGAAAGCUCGUGUUGGUCAUACCGGGAAUUUGUACAGAAAGUAACCUACCGGCAGCAAUGACUGCAUAUUUGUGAUAUGGGCGGGGAAAAGCAGCACACUAUGGUAACUGUAUACAUGUAAACACAAAUUUUCGUCUGCUCAAAUGUUUAAUAAGAAUAAUCAAAAAGUUCUACAUACUCAUUCACAACCUUUGACUUCUGUUUUUUUUCUUGGCAAAUGAAACAUUGAAUGCAUAUCUAUUCCAAAUGUUAUUUCUGGUUUACAUCUGCGGAUGUCUCUAAAUUGCUUUUUGUACUUUUAUUAUGUAUAAAUGUUAAGAUCUGCUCAACCCGGGGCUAGAGGGCGUGGACGGUAGCAUGCAUUUCCACUACCGUCCAUGAACAGGCUCAAUCAAACCGAACCUGCAACAUUUUCGUUUUUGCCGUGUUGAACAACCUGUUGAGUUUCCACUUUUUCUAUUUUAUUAAUAUAUUCUUCAAUCUAUUUCGUACAAAUUGCACUCUUGCCAUAAACACAUGUUUCAUUUGCUCAUCUCGAGUUACUAGUUAAUUGCCUAACUUGUCUAGCCAUAUUUUCUGUUACAAAUCACUUCAUAAAUUAAUCAUGCACGGGAAGACUACAUCACGUCAUAAAUUUAGAUAUGAACAGAAAUCUUCAAUACUCCAAACAAUCACUUGUAACUCUAGACAUUAGACGAAUGUCAACAAUGGUGGGUCUGAAUACACAAUCCAGAGGCUGUUAGGUCUAAUUAAAUGUCACUUUCUAUCAGUUUUGUGUCUGAUAAAAUUGGCACAAAUUAUUCUUGAAUUCUUAUGAUUUUACAGUGAUAGAUCUUUUUAAAAUUUUCCAAUUGAAAUAUGGCUAAUGAUGUGCACAUAUUUAGAAUAAGUUCGGAUGUUACACAAGAACAGGGUGACACUAUUCAGAAUCUUUUUAUGCACAAUGACUGAAAUUACUGUGAUAGAUAUAAUGUUUCAAUAAAAUCUGGAAAGUAGAUCCCUCGGAAGCAUCUAGAACAAGGCAAACAGUGAAAAUUGCAGACUCGGUUUGAUUGAGUCUGUUCAUGAGCAGUAAUGGAAAAUGCAACACUGCCCACGCCCCCAAGCAUCAUAUUCAAUCGUGCAAAUCUAAAUGAGUUGAAAGUGAAGAAAAUGUAAGUCAUAAUAAUAAUCAUGAUAAUGAAAAUAACUCAGAAGAACACAGACAAUUCAUAAUUCAACAGGAUAUGAACGAAGAGGAAUGUGAAUACUGUUUUUGCAGACCAUGUAUUACAAAUGAGCGAAACCGUCAGUUAAAGUGUGAAACAGAAAAUCAUACACCAAGUUCAAAGAAUCAUAGACUAAGGAAAGAAAAUUAUAAGCAUUUUUGGACCAUGAUGUUUCAUAGACAAGUUUAGGACAAAGAGUGAUACAAAGCCAUAAAACGGAAAGCCAAGAAUGAGGUUAUAUUGAUGGCACAGAAGGAACAUUAUGCUUGAGUUUGUGCUGACUCUUGUAUGGUAGUGGUAUCCUAAUAGACCUGGCCAUCCGUAUCGUGGACAUUUAUGGGAGUUAAUAACUAAUAGCAUACCUUGAACUAGUUUCCACUGGAUGUGACUGAUUUAACAAGAGCUUUUUUCCUGCCACUUGCUGAAAUGUAAACAUAACCUGUGUGACUCACUAGCUAGCUACACCGUAACUUCCUGUCAGCCAAUGAAUGUACCUGCCAAUCAUCUGGGAGGUAAAUUCAAAUUUAGUAGCAGACGGCAAAUAUUUUUUUGUUGAAAGAUGCAUGAAUAAUUGUAUCACAUCAAAUUUUCACCAAUGUUUAAAAAUAAAAUUAUCCUAAUAAACAGUUUUGCCAAAUUUCAAAGAAAAGUGAUCAACAAAAAUGUAUAAAUAAGCAUAAACCUUUGAAGUUGUAUGUUUUGUUUACAGAUCAGAAAUGAGUCUCUCUAAGCUUGAUUCCCUUUUAUACUGGUCCUCCGGUGUUUAAGUAAACAGCUGUAUUAUUAAAUAACAUGUAAAAGUCAACAGGAAUGAUUGUUAAGAGUCAUUGAAUGACUACCAAUGACCAUGUUUUAGGUUUUGCUAUUGGAUAAGUUGAGAUGAAUGUAUGCCAUUUGGUAAAAUUUUGUCCUUAAUUAAAUCUGUUUUAUAGAAAAUAUUGUUUAACAGCACACUUACGUUGCAAUAUAUUUAGAAGUUAUUUGUUUUGUUUUACAGUUGUUAGUAGAUCUAGUUGAAUUUAUAUUGUGAAAAUAUUUUUUUUCAAUAACUGGCAUAAAAUGUUGGUGUUAGAAUCAACGUAGAAGAAAUGCUUAUUUUCUGCAGUUGAAAAUAUAAGAACUUAGAAUAUAGAAUAAAUUGUAUUUUCUCCUAUAAGAAAGUCUGAAUAAAAGCUAUAUUUGUUCAUGAUCUAACUAUUCAUAUUCUUGUUGUAUGGUUCACAUUCUUAUUGUUAAGUUUUCGUAUGCUAUUGAUUUAUACAUUCGUGUUUAUCAUAUUGUCAAUUAGAAUUUGUAUAUGUUUUAUUUCAUUAUCGCAAAUGUGUUCCUUCUGUGUUGUAUAAGUUUUAAAAGAAUAAAAAGCAAACUUAAAGUUUGGGCGUCGUUUUCAUUAACCAGUUAGAACUGUGACACAAUGAAUAUGACGUCAUGCGACGAUUUGACGUUAUAUUUGACGCCAAUAUAGUAUCUCAACCUAACGUCAACCUAUAUUUGUCGGAGAAUUUACAACACUUGAGUACCUGCCACACAAAUCGAUCCAGUUUACAGUUUGGCCAAUCUUAAUAGGCAUUUUUAGGCUAUCCCGAUGCUGACUUGGAUUUUGUAUGACAAUAAAAUAUCAGGGGUUUUCUCAAAUGCAUUAUAGUAUACACACGUAACCAAGAUACAGGGUUGUAGCAAGCGGUUACUUAUUUGAGGGGAACACUAUACAUUGUUUUCGAAAAUAGCUCAGAUAGAAUUCAAUUAAAAACAUAGCAUUAUUUUACUACUUUUAAUCGUGUUUGUGCGUGUGUGCGUGCGUGCGUGUGUAAACCAGAGAUAAACGUAUGCUCACUGUUUCUAGGGUGCUUCAACACAUAUGUUUUAAAUUUGUUGCUUUUCAAUCAUUUUGUACAUACAUUGUAUGCUUUGAAAUACAUAUCAGAACAACU
Molecule: long non-coding RNA, 4127 nt
Organism: Mercenaria mercenaria
Lineage: Eukaryota; Metazoa; Mollusca; Bivalvia; Venerida; Veneridae
Exons: 2
Source: RefSeq, a predicted model, not a curated record